UACGGAGGGUGCGAGCGUUAUCCGGAAUUACUGGGUUUAAAGGGUGCGUAGGCGGCUAUGUAAGUCAGGAGUGAAAGUUUGCGGCUCAACCGUAAAAUUGCUUUUGAUACUGCAUGGCUGGAAUUAGGAUGAGGUCAGCGGAAUGUGGCAUGUAGCGGUGAAAUGCGUAGAUAUGCCAUAGAACACCAAUUGCGAAGGCAGCUGGCUAGACCUGGAUUGACGCUGAGGCACGAAAGCGUGGGGAGCGAACAGG
RNAcentral lists this ribosomal RNA (253 nucleotides) under uncultured bacterium. Its description in RNAcentral is "partial 16S ribosomal RNA". It matches the Rfam family "Bacterial small subunit ribosomal RNA", at positions 524 to 776 of the family's 1533-position model. The record is from RNAcentral.